UUUGAAAUUGAUAUGUAGCCCAUGAUUGGAAAAAUAGAAACAUAUUUUAAUUUGUAAGAAACAAUCGUAUGAUAUACCUUACACAACAAGCUCUGAUAGGAAGAACAUCGGAUUGAUUUGGAACUAUUUGAGAACAAGAAAAAGGGGAGCUCCCUAGUUAUGGGGAUUUGUACAUUCUUACCAACAGCAAAGAAGGCUUCCAUUGUUCCUGUUGUAGGCUGAUUUGGUUCAACACAGGCCAUUGAAGAUGAAGGUUUGAGAACUAGAGAUUUUAGCCUGCUAGAAUGCUGGAAUUUAGCUUCCUUGAGACUGAAAUGAUGUUUAAGAUCCCUUGAUUUGACUAUGGAACUCACACCAUUGACACCAAUGCUUGCGCCUUACAGGUCAGUCGGUGUUGAUAAUAUCCAACUCUAAACUCGUCUCUCUGGUGCAUUCCUCUGUCAAAAUAUCAUCUGAAAGUUUCAGUGUUGCGUGAAAGAAAUUUGGUGAAAUUAUCAUGAAAUGAGUGAGGUACUUCUACUAAAAAAAUGAGUAAAUUAAUCCUGUAGUAUGAAGAUGAAAGAGCAAAAUAACCAUCCCAUUAAGAAAGAAGCUUUAAGUAACGGUAAAGACAGCGAUGUCGUGCCCAAGAGAACCUAGCUCGGAUACGAGAUUGAAGAACAAAUAGCUGACAAACGGAAAAAUAAAAUAAAAUAAAAAGAACAAAGGGAUGAUGAUUUAUUCAAUGAAAUGAUUUAUUCAAUGAAAUGAGUGCAUAUUUAUAGGCUUAGCAAAGACCUAUUUUUAGGCAAAAUAAAUUCACUAAAAAUUUAGUAACAGCCAAACAAAUAAGUAAAAAAUAGCUAACAAAUAAAUAGCGAAAAUAUGAUGAUAGACUUGGUCAAUAAAUGACCACGUGUUGAUGUUGAUAUCUUCAAUAGUUAGCAUCCGCAUAACCGAAUAAAGAAGGACGAAAAACAAUCCCAUACUCAUAAUAAUGGUGAACGCCAUGAUUGCGACACAUGAAAGUAAAGCCUGCAACCAAUUAUUGCGGUUACUAAAGAGUUCAAAGAAAUGUCAAAUUAUAGUACUAAAUUAUCAGAUUCUUGUGAAAUGUAAAUUUGGUUUUUAGUUAAACUAUUUUAAUUUAAUAGAGGUUUGGAUUUUGUUUUUGCAUUUUUGUAUCUUUCUUCUCUUAUUUGCUAGCAACUUCAUUUAAUUAUUUAAAAGUUUUCAUUUAAAUUAUUAAUCAACUAAAAUAAUUGAUGUAUAAUUUUUUAUUGUGCUCGCUUGUACGAAUCAACAGCUAUUAUUCUUUUUUUUCCUCAGUAUUUUCAUAGAGCUCGCUAGACUUAAAAAAAAAAAAACAUCACAGUAACCUACAUAAAAUAAUACCAAGAAGCCCCUUUACUGUAAUAUAACAUCGACAAGAGGCUGAAGAUCCCUGUCAAGCAAAUUGUACUCUCAUAUGCUCCUAUAAUAUUCACAAUACAUAAUGACAUAAAUUCCAUGAAAGUCCAUAUACUAAGAGUCAAAUUUAUUUACAUUUUUAUUUUCAUAAAGUAGGUUGGAUAAAAUUGAAUUUAACAUUUUUGGUUUUUCAUCGAUUAAAUAAAUGUUUUUAGAAUCAAACUAGAUCGUUCGGUUGAAAAUUUAAUUGAUUGCAGUAUUGGUCUGAAGAUAAAGGUUAAAUCGAUUGACCUGUGAAGUGAAACAAAUAACCAAGUUUAGAAAAAUCGGUGAAUUUUCUCUAUUCUUUAAAUAAUUUAUUUUUUAUUUUACGAUUUUUUUUAAACAAAUAACCAAUCUUAAACCUCCCGCCAAUGCAAGUCCGGUCUGCCUUUAAUCGUCGACAGUGUAUGAUAGUAAGACUGUAUAUCGGAGAGACAAUACACAUCUCCUUUGCGUGCUAGAUGGUCCAGAUUUAAUGAAUCGCUAACUAUUGAAGAGAGGAGAAAUUGUUAUCUCUAAUGUUUCCAACCUUGUGAAUUCAGGUAAUGCUUCCUCUUAUCUAUUAUCUUACUAUGAACAUGUCUGCAAAUGGUAAGAGUUGGCUGAUGGACAUAGGUAAUCUGCAUAUGUAAUGUAAGUUCUUGAAAUGUGAUCAUCACAGAAGUUAAAAACUUAGGUCCUUGACACUAUGGCUUUUCUAGUCUAAUAUGAGAAAUGGAUUGUCCAAUAUCAUGUUAAUUAUGCAUCUUAGAUAGCAAAGGCUAGUUGGAUCGGGAUAUUGAUCUGAAAUAAGAGAUUGGAUUGUCUGACUCUAGAAAUGGUAUGAACCAGUUAAACCAACCGUUGGAGUAAAAAUCUUGAAAAUCUUAUUGGAACUUAUCAUAGGCCAAAGUUAGGUUCAAUCAAGUUUUUGUAAUAACCUAAACUCACAAGAGAAGAAAAAGAGAAAUGUUAUCGUAAUUGUAAAUAUCGAAAAUAAUCAAUUACAAUAAAUACGAGUAUUUAAACAUAAUUUCAUACUAAAUCGAGAAUAAGUGUCUUUAAAUUAGACACACGCAUUAUGUCUUGUUCUUUUCUUCAGGAGAUGCUGCGGGUUACAUACUUCACACUCGAUCAAUUAAAAAAAGACAUGAAGGAAUAGUACAGGUAAUAACUUUGAGAUUUACUUUGUACAUGUAUUAUAUUGCACAUUAGGUAAAAGUUAAGGGAUCAAUUUUGAUAUUAACCCUAAAUCUUAUAUAAAGCUAAGAAAGUACGGCAUUAAUAAGUUUUUUGUAUCUCAAGCGGAUUCUACCAAAGGUAAGAGCUUUCCUUAUCUUCCUUCCACAAAUCCGAGUCGGUGGCUGUCACCGCCACCCACGGCCGCCAUCAGAGUUCGAAGCCAGACAUAAGCUAGUGAAGCGGAACCACAAAACAAAAGCGAAAAACUCUCCGGUUCCUAUCGCCGGCCGUCGGACAGGUCUGCAGUUUUCUUAUCUUAUGGCGAUGUGUUCCGAAGACAGAAUCAGUAGUUUACCGGAUCAUAUUCUUUGUCAUAUUUUGUCUUUCCUUCCUCUUAAAGAAGCAGUUCGAACCUCUGUUAUUUCAACCAAGUGGAGAUACCUCUUUGCUUCAAUUUCUACCAUUGAAUUUGAUGAUAGUUUACUGAGUGGUUUGACUGACAGAAAUGUUGACAGCUUCAAGAACUUUGUUGAUAGGUUAUUGAAAUUCCCCGAUCAGGUAAGUUUAGAUUGCUUUAGGCUAAGUGAUGGGAUUUCAUUGAAUGAUGAAGAUCAUGAUUUUGAUGUUUCUGGUUGGAUAUGUGCUGCAUUGUGCCGUGGUGUUAAGGAAAUUGAUUUGUUCUUAGAUUAUUUUGGGUGUGUUCUCACUGUACCAGCUGUUUUAUUCACUUGCCACUCACUGGUGACACUGAAAUUGAAUGCAGAAUGUCGUAAGAUUGAUGUCCCAUCUGACGUUUGUUUAGGAAAUCUGAAGACUUUGCAGCUUAGAAACACUGUAGUUGACGGUGAUUCCAUUCAUAGGUUAAUUUCCAAUUGCCAUGUCUUAGAAGAUUUGGCUUUUAUUGAAUGUCAUCUUAUGUAUGCAAGUGCGCUCAAUAUCAAAACUCCUUCUCUUAAGAGAUUGGUUUUAGAUUUGGAUGUGGUAGAAUACGGAGAUUUCAAUAAUGUGGUGGUGAUUAAUGCUCCAAAUCUUGAAAAAGCCGAUAUUAGCAUCUAUCUGUUUGGUUUCAGUGAUCGUGAAACAAGUGCAACUCAUCUUAUUCAAGGAAUUAUUCAAGGAAUUUGCACUGUGCGGUCUCUGAAUUUAACCAUUAAUGACCUGGUUAGUAAACUUAGUAUUCAUGUGUGAUUUUCCUUUUUAACAUCAUAUAAUUUAACAUUAUAUAAUAGCCUCAAGUAUUUUUGUGUGCAGAUUUUCCGAACGUGUCGACUUCCUAUAUUUCACAACCUUAUUAAAUUUGAAUAUGGUGUUCUUGGUUCUAAUGGGAGAGAAACUUGGCUUGUGGAGUUUCUACAUUGUGCGCCUAAUCUAAAUACGCUUACCCUCAAUUUUCUGGUAUGAAGUCUUUUUCUGAGUACGUGUAUUCGUUGCGAUUGAUUGUUUUAGUGUCAGUUAUAUUCGUAAUUACGAUAAACUUAAAAGAAAUCGAAAGCAUGUUUGGGAUCAACUAAAUUCAUGGUACAAACCAAGUAACUUUUCUAAGUUUUCUUCUCUUGUCAUGAGUUUAGGUUGUUGUGGAAACUCAAUGGAAGGUUCUACAUAUGGAAGUUCCUUCUUGUUUGUCUUUGCACCUCAAGGAGAUUAAAAUUUUGAACUUUAAGGGAGACAUGCGAAUGUUUGAAAUGAUUAGUUAUUUCUUGGAUAAUGCUAUGGUCUUGGAAAAGCUCAUGAUAGGAAUGAAAUCCCUGUCCGAGACACAACAAUCGAUUGUCUUCAACCAAUUACUGCAGUUACCUAAGAGUUCAAAGAAAUGUCAAGUUGUGAUUUUCUAGUACUGUUUUAUGUUAUGGCUAGAACUGAUCAGUGUCUGGUUUGGUUUUGUAUAGAUGUGUUGUUUGAAAUAUACAUUUGGUGUUAAUAUCCUAUACAGUCACUAAUGGCAAUACUGAAUAUCUGAUAGUUGGUUUAUAUAUGUAUUUGUGAAUGUAUAUUUAUGGGUAUAUAUAUGUAUUGUAGCCAAAAAUAGCCUUUGAAAUUGAUAUGUAGCCCAUGAUUGGAAAAAUAGAAACAUAUUUUAAUUUGUAAGAAACAAUCGUAUGAUAUACCUUACACAACAAGCUCUGAUAGGAAGAACAUCAGAUUGAUUUGGAACUAUUUGAGAAGAAGAAAAAGGGGAGCUCUCUAGUUAUGGUGAUUUGUACAUUCUUACCAACAACAAAGAAGGCUUCCAUUGUUCCUGUUAUAGGCUAGCAUUGGUUCAACACAGGCCAUUGAAGAUGAAGGUUUGAGAACUUGAGAUUUUAGCCUGCUAGAAUGCUGGAAUUUAGCUUCCUUGAGACUGAAAUGAUGUUUAAGAUCCCUUGAUUUGACAAUGGAACUCACACCAUUGACUUCAAUGCUUGCGCCUUACAGGUCAGUCAGUGUUGAGAAUAUCCAACUCUAAACUCGUCUCUCUGGUGCAUUCCUCUGUCAAAAUAUCAUCUGAAAGUUUCAGUGUUGCGUGAAAGAAAUUUGGUGAAAUUAUCAUGAAAUUAUGAGUGAGGUACUUUUACUAAAAAAAAGAGUAAAUUAAUCCUGUAGUAUGAAGAUUAAAGAGCAAAAUAAUCAUCCCAUUAAGAAAAAGGCUUUAAGUAACAGUAAAGACAGCGAUGUCGUGCCCAAGAGAACCUAGCUCGGAUACGAGAUUGAAGAACAAAUAGCUGACAAACGGAAAAAUAAAAUAAAAUAAAAAGAACAAAUAACUAACAGGAAGAAUAAGACGCAAAGGGAUGAUGAUUUAUUCAAUGAAAUGAGUGCAUAUUUAUAGGCUUAGCAAAGACCUAUUUUUAGGCUAAACAAAUUCACUAAAAAUUUGGAAACAGCCAAACAAAUAAGUAAAAAAUAGCUAACAAAUAAAUAGCGAAAAUAUGA
Molecule: long non-coding RNA, 5502 nt
Filed under: Gossypium raimondii (Peruvian cotton)
Lineage: Eukaryota; Viridiplantae; Streptophyta; Magnoliopsida; Malvales; Malvaceae
Description: long non-coding RNA (GRAI_LNC003351)
Source: RNAcentral